GUCUCCGUUGGUGAACCAGCGGAGGAUCAUUA
Molecule: ribosomal RNA, 32 nt
Filed under: Scedosporium dehoogii
Lineage: Eukaryota; Fungi; Ascomycota; Sordariomycetes; Microascales; Microascaceae
Description: partial 18S ribosomal RNA
Source: RNAcentral